Molecule: ribosomal RNA, 253 nt
Filed under: uncultured bacterium
Lineage: Bacteria
Description: partial 16S ribosomal RNA
Rfam family: Bacterial small subunit ribosomal RNA
Source: RNAcentral
UACAGAGGGUGCAAGCGUUAAUCGGAAUUACUGGGCGUAAAGCGCGCGUAGGCGGCAAUUUAAGUUGGAUGUGAAAGCCCCGGGCUUAACCUGGGACGGUCAUUCAAAACUGGGUUGCUAGAAUGUGGUAGAGGGUAGUGGAAUUCCUAGUGUAGCGGUGAAAUGCGUAGAUAUUAGGAGGAACAUCAGUGGCGAAGGCGACUGCCUGGACUGACAUUGACGCUGAGGUGCGAAAGCGUGGGUAGCGAACAGG